RNAcentral lists this small nuclear RNA (63 nucleotides) under Myotis davidii. RNAcentral's name for it is "U7 small nuclear RNA". It matches the Rfam family "U7 small nuclear RNA". Rfam says of the family: Animal histone pre-mRNAs are spliced by a different mechanism than nuclear pre-mRNAs and self-splicing introns. This processing involves the U7 snRNP, which contains only one RNA species: U7. Lineage: Eukaryota; Metazoa; Chordata; Mammalia; Chiroptera; Vespertilionidae. The record is from Rfam by way of RNAcentral.
GAGUGCUUACAGCUCUUUUUUUAAUUUGUCCAGCAGGUCUUCAGUUUUUACUGGAAGGCCCCC